UUCACCAAGGUGAAUUUCAAACACAGCUGAAGAAGCUGAUUGUAGAAUUGAUUCUAUUUUUUUUUUUAUUAUAUACAGUAUAUAGAGAAAGAGAGAGAGAUUUCUUUUUUUUUUUUUUUUGAGCAGUAGGUUAGAAAUUUUACAGCCAUGACAUAAUGGCUGUAAAAACUCCCCUAAAUUCUGACCAUCGCUAACAGUGACUGUCUGCAUCGUCAUUUCAGAAAUUGCAUUGACUUACCACGGCAUUCCUCAUCAUCACAGCUACUUGUCUCAGAUUGAUCUAGGAUUUGGGAUAUCUAUUUCUAAAGAGAAGUUUGCCAUGGUUAACCUUAAUAAAAGGAAAAUAAAAGGAAAAUGACAAGAAAUAUGAUGGAACUUCUCUUUUCAAAAGAGGAAAUGGCUACUUCUUGAGUGACUGGAAGGAAGUCAAACACUAAAGAAAAUGCUGUUAUGAAACACUCUGUGCAAAAAUAGAGUUUUUGCAGUUAUUGGAAAACGGAAUCAAGACAAGGAUGCAAGCUGCAAGCGAGUCAAUGACCACAAGCAACGAGGCUGAAGGACGGUCGUAAAACUUAGACACUGUCCUCAGACAAACCAGUCUGGGUCUGCUGUACACCUAAAACCACAGUUUCCAAAAGAAACUGUGCCCUGCUACCUGUGUAGUUAAAACAUUCAGCGAAGAGGACAGAGCGGACGGGUGCUGUUCUGGAUCCUAUACCGAGGACUGAAGACUUUGUUGCAGCUGUUUGUUGAUUAUCGAGAAUUGAAAGCUUUGUUGCCAAGUUUGAUCCAAUGUAGGAUUGCAGACUGUUGCGGAGAGGAGAGCUUUUGAACUGGACACUUCAACAGAUUGAGUUUCCGAGCCAGCAGACCAAAAGUCUAAGCUUCAAGGAACUGUUGAGUAUAAUUCCAGUUGCAUUUUCCUUUCCUUUUAAUUGUAACACAUUCACAUAGAAUUGAACUGUUAAUUUAGUUUGCACACUUUUCAUAUGGAAUAACUUUUUGUGAAACUUGAUGACGCAACUAUAAGUAAUCUACCUCAUAUUGUUGUAUGAAGAAUUUCUUGCCAUAUACUUAAUCUAUAUACCAUUAAUAAGCUUAAUGUGAUAUAUUCUAAGAUUGUCUGCAUCAUCUCAGUUGAGGCUGUGUGCUUGGAUGUAGGCGUGUGUGUGUUUGAGCAAGCUACUAUGUCACAGCCUACCUGCUUGAAUGAGUGCUUCUGGUGUGUGAGGAGUCAGGCGGUGUAAUAUUUCAAUUGCCUGCUAGUCAAGUUAAGACAGUGAGAGUUUUUUAAUUGUGUUUUGUGCUUAGAGACGAAGACAUUUACUUUUGACUUUUCUGAUUUCUGUUUAUUAUUUUGUGUACUUAAUAAAAUACUACUAUUGAUUAAACAUUCCUUGUGUCUAAGCGUGAAUGUGUGUUCAUAGUAAAUCCUCAAUCUUUCUUUGUAACACGUCAAUUAAAUAUUAUUAAUAAGAGAACUAUCAACCCUGAUACACAUUAAAUGAUCAAUUAUUGAAUUGUUCCGACAGUAGAGAGGCUGUUCGGUUGGCUGCCACUCCGUGUGGGCACACAAAUAGGCUAGCUGUCUAUUAUACUAAACUGUGCUAAAGGCAAUCCUUAACCAAUACAAUAGUUUCAAUUGGGAUCACACAACUACAAAACGCUGUGUGGAAACCGAUCAAAUUGCAAAUCAACCUUUAUUCAGUUUAACCACACUCACCUGGUACUAAUCACAAACAGAAGAUAACCUAAUUAAAACACCACCUUUAUAAUGUUACUUAAAUAUAGCUAAUGUUAAGAGUUGGAGUGAGGCCUAUAGUAGCCACUGGGAAGGAUUUUGGAAAG
Acipenser ruthenus (sterlet) is the source of this 1848-nucleotide long non-coding RNA. RefSeq lists it as uncharacterized. The record is from RefSeq and is a predicted model, not a curated record. The transcript has 3 exons. Lineage: Eukaryota; Metazoa; Chordata; Actinopteri; Acipenseriformes; Acipenseridae.